AUUGAACGCUGGCGGCAUGCCUUACACAUGCAAGUCGAACGGCAGCGCGGGGCAACCUGGCGGCGAGUGGCGAACGGGUGAGUAAUAUAUCGGAACAUACCCUAGAGUGGGGGAUAACGUAGCGAAAGUUACGCUAAUACCGCAUACGCACUAAGGUGGAAAGUGGGGGAUUCGCAAGAACCUCAUGCUCAUGGAGUGGCCGAUAUCUGAUUAGCUGGUUGGUGAGGUAAAGGCUCACCAAGGCGACGAUCAGUAGCUGGUUUGAGAGAACGACCAGCCACACUGGAACUGAGACACGGUCCAGACUCCUACGGGAGGCAGCAGUGGGGAAUUUUGGACAAUGGGGGCAACCCUGAUCCAGCAAUGCCGCGUGAGUGAAGAAGGCCUCGGUUGUAAG
RNAcentral lists this ribosomal RNA (397 nucleotides) under uncultured bacterium. Its description in RNAcentral is "bacterial SSU rRNA". It matches the Rfam family "Bacterial small subunit ribosomal RNA", at positions 30 to 429 of the family's 1533-position model. The record is from RNAcentral.